CCUACGGGCGGCAGCAGUGGGGAAUAUUGCACAAUGGGGGAAACCCUGAUGCAGCGACGCCGCGUGAAGGAAGAAGUAUUUCGGUAUGUAAACUUCUAUCAGCAGGGAAGAUAAUGACGGUACCUGACUAAUAAGCACCGGCUAACUACGUGCCAGCAGCCGCGGUAAUACGUAGGGGGCAAGCGUUAUCCGGAUUUACUGGGUGUAAAGGGAGCGUAGGCGGCGUUGCAAGUCAGAAGUGAAAGCCUGGGGCUUAACCACGGGACUGCUUUUGAAACUGUAUGGCUAGAUUGCAGGAGAGGCAAGUGGAAUUCCUAGUGUAGCGGUGAAAUGCGUAGAUAUUAGGAGGAACACCAGUGGCGAAGGCGGCUUGCUGGACUGUAAAUGACGCUGAGGCUCGAAAGCGUGGGGAGCAAACAGGAUUAGAUACCCGAGUAGUC
This 440-nucleotide ribosomal RNA is filed under the name uncultured bacterium. Its description in RNAcentral is "partial 16S ribosomal RNA". It matches the Rfam family "Bacterial small subunit ribosomal RNA", at positions 338 to 795 of the family's 1533-position model. The record is from RNAcentral.